UGUUGGAAAAUGAUACGGAACAUCAGAAAAACAUGACCUUUCUGAGAUUUUUCCAUAAAAUCCGAACACAUGCAGAAUCCAGUCUGUGUGUUCAACUGCCUCUUCCAGCAAUGCUCACUAAUGAUUUUCAUUUUUCUAUUAAUAAAUAUCAACUGUCUAUUUAGCACUCAUCUGUUACAGAGAGACUUCAGCCAGCCAAUAAUCAAGAGCUGACUGCCAGCCCAAGCACUGACAGAAAGGUAGGGCUAUAACCAGGCCUCUUUGACAUGGCUGGGUGGACAUUUCUAUGGCGAGAAGAAUGUGAGGUGACAUUUUUGACCAGCUUGCUGUCUGAGGGCCUUAAGAGCCUCUGUCCAUCUCGUGGAAACAGUCAACUCAACUCCCUUUUCUGUGGUUUAGAAAAACAAGAAAAAUUCUUCCUUCUCCAGAGAGUAUUGACCUAUUACAAAGGCUAUGCAGAUAGUACAAAACAUAGCACACUCCUCCAAGAAAUUCCUAUCAUAUUCAUGAAAAAAGUCCCUCAAACCUACUGCCAAGUUUCAAGAUCAGCUUUGAUGUGUGUCUAAAGUAGCUUGGCACCCGGCUGUCAUCAUUCCCUGGAUCUGUCUCUCUGUGAAACCGCGAUAUAAUCAUCACUGUCCCAUGUGAAGAGGCCAGCUGCUUAUGGCACCGUGAUGAUACACUCCCACAACUUCCUGCAGCUCAUGGGUUACGUCGAUGACUGCUGGAGGACGCUAUGAAAUGGUAUAAAAUAACGAAGUCAGAAGAUUGAUGCUGGAAGGGACCGUAGCACCUUAAUAUCUACCUUUUAGAAAUUAAACAAAAGGCAAAACUGAGCGAUUCUAUAAUAAUUCAGCGCCAACUAGGUUCAACACAUUGUUUCAGACGUUGGAAAGAAAGGGGAGAUUUCCGCCGGCAUAAACUGUAUUCACCAGCUCCCAACCCUGAGGUCUCCAGUGCGGUCAGCCAAUGGGAAGCCUUGCCAGGAGAUCAGUUAGAAGAAGGGGAGAGUAACAAGGCCCUCGGUGAUGACAGCUGGGCUGCUCCUGGGCCUUCCUGUGCAUUCUCCACCUGGAAUUUCAUGACGAGUACCCUUGUAAAUAAAAUC
This is a long non-coding RNA of Chinchilla lanigera (long-tailed chinchilla), 1108 nucleotides long. RefSeq lists it as uncharacterized. The record is from RefSeq and is a predicted model, not a curated record. Lineage: Eukaryota; Metazoa; Chordata; Mammalia; Rodentia; Chinchillidae. The transcript has 4 exons.